This 45-nucleotide non-coding RNA is filed under the name Schistosoma mansoni. The record is from RNAcentral. Lineage: Eukaryota; Metazoa; Platyhelminthes; Trematoda; Strigeidida; Schistosomatidae.
AUCCAGCUGCCGAGUCCUAGAUAGAACGAGAUGCGCAUCCUGAAU